RNAcentral lists this ribosomal RNA (1886 nucleotides) under human gut metagenome. Its description in RNAcentral is "bacterial LSU rRNA". It matches the Rfam family "Bacterial large subunit ribosomal RNA", at positions 3 to 1979 of the family's 2925-position model. The record is from RNAcentral.
UUAAGCUAAGAAGAGCGUAGGGAGAAUGCCUUGGCAUUAGGAGCCGAUGAAGGACGUGAUAAGCUGCGAUAAGCUGCGGGGAUCAGCAAGUAUGAAUUGAUCCGCAGAUUUCCGAAUGGAGCAAUCCGUAUGUGUAUGCACAUACAUCAUAUACUGAAUCAAAUAGGUAUAUGAGGGGAACCGCCUGAACUGAAACAUCUAAGUAGGGCGAGGAAGAGAAAUCAACCGAGAUUCUGUGAGUAGUGGCGAGCGAAAGCGGAAGAGGCUAAACCAUAGGUAGCAAUACUUAUGGGGUUUCGGACAGCAUUUAGUAUUGAUAAUUUCUAGUUGAAACGUGUGGGAAAACGUACCGAAGAGUGUGAGAGUCACGUAAGCGAAAGAGAAAGUCAGCGAGCUGUAUCCAAAGUACCGCGGGACACGUGAAACCCCGUGGGAAGAUGGGGGGACCAUCCUCCAAGCCUAAAUACUACCUAAUGACCGAUAGCGAAUAGUACUGUGAAGGAACGGUGAAAAGAACCCCGGGAGGGGAGUGAAAAAGAACCUGAAACCCUAUGCUUACAAGCACCGAGAGCACGUCAAAGUGUGAUCGGGUACCUUUUGUAGAAUGGUCCGGCGAGUUAUUGUAUGCGGCAAGGUUAAGUGCUUAAGGCACGGAGCCGAAGCGAGAGCAAGUCUGAACAGGGCGAGUAAGUCGUAUGCAAUAGACCCGAAACCGAGUGACCUAUCCAUGUCCAGGCUGAAGUGGAGGUAAAACUCCAUGGAGGGCCGAACACACGUCCGUUGAAAAGGCCGGUGAUGAGGUGUGGAUAGCGGAGAAAUUCCAAUCGAACUCGGAUAUAGCUGGUUCUCUCCGAAAUAGCUUUAGGGCUAGCCUCGUGAAAGAUUACUGGAGGUAAAGCACUGAAUGGGCUAGGGGUCGAAAGAUUACUGAACCCUAUCAAACUAAGAAUGCCAGAUAAUUGAUUCACGGGAGUCAGACAAUGUGAGAUAAGUCUCAUUGUCAAAAGGGAAACAGCCCAGACCCACAGCUAAGGUCCCUAAACAUUGUUAAGUGGAAAAGGAUGUGGGGUUGCAUAAACAACCAGGAUGUUGGCUUAGAAGCAGCCACUCAUUAAAAGAGUGCGUAAUAGCUCACUGGUCGAGUGACCCUGCGCCGAAAAUUCAACGGGGCUAAACAAUGUACCGAAGCUUGGGAUUCUAAAGUAAUUUAGAGUGGUAGGAGAGCGUCGAAUAAGGGGUGAAGUCAGAGCGGAAGCGCUGGUGGACUUUAUUCGAGUGAGAAUGCCGGAAUGAGUAGCGAGAAUUAUGUGAGAAUCAUAAUGGCCGAAAAUCUAAGGUUUCCUGAGGAAGGUUCGUCCGCUCAGGGUAAGCCGGGGGCUAAGGCGAGGCGGAGACGCGUAGCCGAUGCACAUACGGUUGAAAUUCCGUAGCCACCGAAAGAUUUAAGUACAGGGACGCUUUAGAAGUGAUGUUGCCGGGCGAUGGUUGACCCGGUCGUAAGGGAUCGAAAAUGAGUAGAGAAGUCAUCAUGGAAAGAGACAAGAAAAGCUGUAUGAAUAUCUUAGGUGCCCGUACCGCAAACCGACACAGGUAGAUAGGAAGAAGAUUCUAAGGCCAACGGGAGAAGGGUUGUUAAGGAACUCGGCAAGUUGACCCCGUAACUUAGGGAUAAGGGGUGCUCAAGUGAUUGAGCCGCAGAGAAUAGGCCCAGGCGACUGUUUAGCAAAAACACAGGUCUCUGCUAAAUCGAAAGAUGACGUAUAGGGGCUGACACCUGCCCGGUGCCGGAAGGUUAAGAGGAGAUGUGAGAGCAUUGAAUUGAAGCCCCGGUAAACGGCGGCCGUAACUAUAACGGUCCUAAGGUAGCGAAAUUCCUUGUCAGGUAA